Ictalurus punctatus (channel catfish) is the source of this 1700-nucleotide long non-coding RNA. RefSeq lists it as uncharacterized. The transcript has 3 exons. The record is from RefSeq and is a predicted model, not a curated record. NCBI's taxonomy places the organism in Eukaryota, Metazoa, Chordata, Actinopteri, Siluriformes, Ictaluridae.
GAGACCUAGCAUCCAGCAAAGGGGAGAGGAAGGAUUGACGACGGGCACCUAGACAUAUAGAAGCGGGAUUAGGCGGACAUUGACAAAUUGGAAUUACACUAUAAAGAUCUUUAAGAGCAGUAGUAGUCAAAAAAAGUCAAAAAGAGGUACACGAGCUGAGCUGAGGAGCGCUAAUACACACACACACACACACACACACACACACACGCUCGUACAGUCAAGGGCGGGCAAGUAGACACAACAUACACACACUCUCUCUCUUUCUCAUACACACACAUGAAUAACUUUAUAAGAAUAAUGAAAAAGGAGUAAUAAGAUAUUAUAAUAUCUUAUAGUAAUAGAGAAACUCUCUAUAAAAAAACAGAAUAGUAGGAUAUGCAGGACAGUAGAACUGUAAUGAUAUUAAGAAGUUGGAAGUACAGUAAACCGCUUUUCAAGUAGUAUAAAAAUAUAUCUAUAAAAUAAGAAAUAUAGAGCAAAUAUGAAAAUAAAUUAUAAACUAGAAAUACAGGAAAAUGUAAACUUACUCAUGACUCAAAUGGUGAAGGUUCUUGUCUCGCAAGGAAGGCCUUAAUUUUAAGAAAGAACCAUGAGGAGCCAGUUAUAAGGGUGGCUGAGUCAAGCUGCCCCCCCACGAGAUAACAAUAAGAUCAAGGUCACUCUAGAUUGUUUAGUCUUGUCCACUUUCUAUUUUACGGGUUAUUCAAAUUCUCUGGUUUCGAUUCUCUGGGUAAUUCAAAACUCUGGUUUCGAUUCUCUGGGUAAUUCAAAACUCUGGUUUCUGAUUCUCUGUGUAAUUCAAAACUCUGGUUUCUGAUUCUCUGUGUAAUUCAAAACUCUGGUUUAUGAUUCUCUGAGUAACUAAAAACUCUGGGUUUUUAUUUUCUGGGUUAUUAGAAAUGCCUGGGUUCUGAUUUUAUGUGUAAAUUAAAACCCCUGGUUUCAAUUCUAUGUGUAAGUGAAAUAGCCCUUUUCUGGAACAUAAGAGUAAGGUAAAUGAGCUCUUUUUUUAACCCUAUUGGUAGUGAGAUCAUAGUCUUCUUGAAACAUAUGGGUUAUUUAGUGUGUAAAUACAGUAUAAAUACUGGAGCUUAAGCUCAGGGUAUUGGGAUCACCUCUGAGAAUUCUCAUCGGUGUGGAUCUCGUGUGGUGGAACGGAACAAUAAAGCUGGACCCUUGCUUCUUCUCACUCACGGCUGGUGUAUUUUUUCUAUCUCCAACUGGGCUCAGAGGUAGAUGAGGAUGUGUACCUUGGCAAGCGUACUCAUGAAGUGCUGAUCCCCGUUGAGCACUGUGUUAGAGAGGUCACUGGUGGCUCGGAGCCCCUCAUCACGAAUGUGCACCUGCAGCACUUGGAUCAUGUGAGGACAAUGACCCUAAGCACACAGCCAAGAUAAGAAAGGAGUGGCUACAGGACAACUCAUGUGGAUGUCCUUGAGUGCCCCAGCCAGAGCCCAGACUUGAACAUCUCUGGAGAGAUCUGAAAAUGGCUGUGCACCGACGCUCCCCAUCUAACCUGAUGGAGCUUGAGAGGUCCUGCAAAGAAAAAUGGGAGAAACUGCCCAAAAAUAGGUGUGCUUUUUUUGUUUUUUAUUUUUAAUAAAUUUGCAAAGAUUUCAAACAAACUUCUUUUAUGUUGUCAUUAUGGGGUAUUGAAUAAUUAAUUUAUUCCAUUUUGGAAAAAGGCUGUAACAUAACAA